This 548-nucleotide ribosomal RNA is filed under the name Penicillium sp. R45. RNAcentral describes it as "LSU rRNA". It matches the Rfam family "Eukaryotic large subunit ribosomal RNA", at positions 88 to 651 of the family's 3401-position model. Lineage: Eukaryota; Fungi; Ascomycota; Eurotiomycetes; Eurotiales; Aspergillaceae. The record is from RNAcentral.
GGCGAGUGAAGCGGCAAGAGCUCAAAUUUGAAAGCUGGCCCCUUCGGGGUCCGCGUUGUAAUUUGCAGAGGAUGCUUCGGGAGCGGUCCCCAUCUAAGUGCCCUGGAACGGGCCGUCAUAGAGGGUGAGAAUCCCGUCUGGGAUGGGGUGCCCGCGCCCGUGUGAAGCUCCUUCGACGAGUCGAGUUGUUUGGGAAUGCAGCUCUAAAUGGGUGGUAAAUUUCAUCUAAAGCUAAAUACUGGCCGGAGACCGAUAGCGCACAAGUAGAGUGAUCGAAAGAUGAAAAGCACUUUGAAAAGAGAGUUAAACAGCACGUGAAAUUGUUGAAAGGGAAGCGCUUGCGACCAGACUCGCUCGCGGGGUUCAGCCGGCCUUCGGGCCGGUGUACUUCCCCGCGGGCGGGCCAGCGUCGGUUUGGGCGGCCGGUCAAAGGCCCUCGGAAUGUAACGCCCCCCGGGGCGUCUUAUAGCCGAGGGUGCCAUGCGGCCAGCCCGGACCGAGGAACGCGCUUCGGCUCGGACGCUGGCAUAAUGGUCGUAAGCGACCCG